CACCAAGGACCGCCAAACGACUGGACAGCAUCACUGAAAACACUAAUUCUCUGUGAAAUUUCACAGCCAUCGGAGCAGAGGCAUACCUAAUGUUAAAGUGAUACCACUGCACCUUCAAGGCCAAAUGAAGUCAUGUGCUGAAAAGCGUGCUGGGUGAACUGAAACCUCCUCCCACACUGGCGGCGGAGCCAAGAGGACUUGGGCCUCUGCUUUCAGCCCAACACGCUCCCCUCCCCAGGAUGUGUCUCCCGGGUCCCAGCGUCAUAUACUCCAUCAGACCCGAUUGCAACAGUCAGUUAGCAGUCAAUGUAGCGGGAGAUGGGCCACAAGGGGAUUUCUAUACGUUUAAUUAUGAAAAAUGA
This 362-nucleotide long non-coding RNA is filed under the name Callithrix jacchus (white-tufted-ear marmoset). RNAcentral's name for it is "lncRNA (ENSCJAG00000070062.1)". The record is from RNAcentral. Lineage: Eukaryota; Metazoa; Chordata; Mammalia; Primates; Cebidae.